GAUGAACGCUGGCGGCGUGCCUAAUACAUGCAAGUCGAGCGAACAGACGAGGAGCUUGCUCCUCUGACGUUAGCGGCGGACGGGUGAGUAACACGUGGAUAACCUACCUAUAAGACUGGGAUAACUUCGGGAAACCGGAGCUAAUACCGGAUAAUAUAUUGAACCGCAUGGUUCAAUAGUGAAAGACGGUUUUGCUGUCACUUAUAGAUGGAUCCGCGCCGCAUUAGCUAGUUGGUAAGGUAACGGCUUACCAAGGCAACGAUGCGUAGCCGACCUGAGAGGGUGAUCAGCCACACUGGAACUGAGACACGGUCCAGAGCCCUACGGGAGGCGGCAGUAGCGAUACGGCAGCAAGGGGCGAAAGCUUGACGGAGCAACGGCGCGUGAGUGAUGAAGGUCUUCGGAUCGUAAAUCGCUGUUAGUAGGGAAGAGCAGAUAAGUAAGUAACGAGGCACGACUUGACGGUACCUAAGCAAAAAGCCACGGCUAACUACGUG
This 497-nucleotide ribosomal RNA is filed under the name uncultured bacterium. RNAcentral's name for it is "partial 16S ribosomal RNA". It matches the Rfam family "Bacterial small subunit ribosomal RNA", at positions 28 to 507 of the family's 1533-position model. The record is from RNAcentral.